Molecule: ribosomal RNA, 384 nt
Filed under: uncultured bacterium
Lineage: Bacteria
Description: bacterial SSU rRNA
Rfam family: Bacterial small subunit ribosomal RNA
Source: RNAcentral
GACGAACGCUGGCGGCGUGCUUAACACAUGCAAGUCGAGCGGGUAAGGCCCUUUCGGGGGUACACGAGCGGCGAACGGGUGAGUAACACGUGGGUGACCUGCCCUCAGCGUCUGGGAUAAGCCCGGGAAACUGGGUCUAAUACCGGAUAUGACUUCAUGACGCAUGUUGUGGAGUGGAAAGCCUUGUGCGGCUGAGGAUGGGGCCCGCGGCCUAUCAGCUUGGUUGGGUGGGGUGANGGCCUACCAAGGCGACGACGGGUAGCCGGCCUGAGAGGGCGACCGGCCACACUGGGACUGAGAUACGGGCCCAGACUCCUACGGGAGGCAGCAGUGGGGAAUCUUGCGCAAUGGGCGAAAGCCUGACGCAGCGACGCCGCGUGAGGG